GCACUGCCCCUCUCAGGUGGGUGGUGGUACUUCAGGUGGCCCCUCGGCUCAGCACUGCCCCUCUCAGGCGGGUGGUGGUACUUCAGGUGGCCCCUCGGCUCAGCACUGCCCCUCUCAGGCGGGUGGUGGUACUUCAGGUGGCCCCUCGGCUCAGCACUGCCCCUCUCAGGCGGGUGGUGGUACUUCAGGUGGCCCCUCGGCUCAGCACUGCCCCUCUCAGGCGGGUGGUGGUACUUCAGGUGGCCCCUCGGCUCAGCACUGCCCCUCUCAGGCGGGUGGUGGUACUUCAGGUGGCCCCUCGGCUCAGCACUGCCCCUCUCAGGCGGGUGGUGGUACUUCAGGUGGCCCCUCGGCUCAGCACUGCCCCUCUCAGGCGGGUGGUGGUACUUCAGGUGGCCCCUCGGCUCAGCACUGCCCCUCUCAGGCGGGUGGUGGUACUUCAGGUGGCCCCUCGGCUCAGCACUGCCCCUCUCAGGCGGGUGGUGGUACUUCAGGUGGCCCCUCGGCUCAGCACUGCCCCUCUCAGGCGGGUGGUGGUACUUCAGGUACUUGAGUGUUUACAAGGCAAAGAUAAAUGGAUUUUUGAAUACUAAGGGAAAUGAUGGUUAAAUGAGGUUGGGUGUGAUGCCCCCAUUUGUUGACUAGUCGGUAGCCUAUUCCUCUGAAAAUUCCGUCAGUGAAUUUUAUUUCACAUCCCAAGUUUUUGGGCAGAGAAUUGUGAAUUCCGUCAGGGUGAAUUUCUGUUAGCGAACAGCCGUAACUCGGGGGUCGCCUGUACUCGGUGACCGAGCCCCCGGA
Long non-coding RNA from Pristis pectinata (smalltooth sawfish), 798 nucleotides. RefSeq lists it as uncharacterized. NCBI's taxonomy places the organism in Eukaryota, Metazoa, Chordata, Chondrichthyes, Rhinopristiformes, Pristidae. The record is from RefSeq and is a predicted model, not a curated record. The transcript has 5 exons.